This 440-nucleotide ribosomal RNA is filed under the name uncultured bacterium. RNAcentral's name for it is "partial 16S ribosomal RNA". It matches the Rfam family "Bacterial small subunit ribosomal RNA", at positions 338 to 795 of the family's 1533-position model. The record is from RNAcentral.
CCUACGGGUGGCAGCAGUGGGGAAUAUUGCACAAUGGGGGAAACCCUGAUGCAGCGACGCCGCGUGAGUGAAGAAGUAAUUCGUUAUGUAAAGCUCUAUCAGCAGGGAAGAAAAUGACGGUACCUGAGUAAGAAGCCCCGGCUAACUACGUGCCAGCAGCCGCGGUAAUAAGUAGGGGGCAAGCGUUAUCCGGAUUUACUGGGUGUAAAGGGAGCGUAGACGGCAGUGCAAGUCUGGAGUGAAAGGCGGGGGCUCAACCCCCGGACUGCUCUGGAAACUGUACGGCUGGAGUGCAGGAGUGGUAAGUGGAAUUCCUAGUGUAGCGGUGAAAUGCGUAGAUAUUAGGAGGAACGCCAGUGGCGAAGGCGGCUUACUGGACUGUAACUGACGUUGAGGCUCGAAAGCGUGGGGAGCAAACAGGAUUAGAUACCCCUGUAGUC